Molecule: non-coding RNA, 89 nt
Organism: Microstroma glucosiphilum
Lineage: Eukaryota; Fungi; Basidiomycota; Exobasidiomycetes; Microstromatales; Microstromataceae
Source: the annotation of a RefSeq genome assembly
UCCCGGCUAGCUCAGUUGGUAGAGCGCUUGACUCUUAAAUUGUAGAGAAGUCCAUCAAGAUGUCGAGGGUUCGAGCCCCUCGUUGGGAG